Oncorhynchus keta (chum salmon) is the source of this 312-nucleotide long non-coding RNA. RefSeq lists it as uncharacterized. The transcript is spliced from 4 exons. NCBI's taxonomy places the organism in Eukaryota, Metazoa, Chordata, Actinopteri, Salmoniformes, Salmonidae. The record is from RefSeq and is a predicted model, not a curated record.
ACCAGGUGAGGGGAGUUCCUUACUGAGACCUAGACAACCAGGUGAGGGGAGUUCCUUACUGAGACCUAGACAACCAGGUGAGGGGAGUUCCUUACUGAGACCUAGACAACCAGGUGAGGGGAGUUCCUUACUGAGACCUAGACAACCAGGUGAGGGGAGUUCCUUACUGAGACCUAGACAACCAGGUGAGGGGAGUUCCUUACUGAGACCUAGACAACCAGGUGAGGGGAGUUCCUUACUGAGACCUAGACAACCAGGUGAGGGGAGUUCCUUACUGAGACCUAGACAACCAGGUGAGGGGAGUUCCUUACU